RNAcentral lists this ribosomal RNA (1498 nucleotides) under metagenome. RNAcentral's name for it is "bacterial LSU rRNA". It matches the Rfam family "Bacterial large subunit ribosomal RNA", at positions 1436 to 2925 of the family's 2925-position model. The record is from RNAcentral.
UUCCGGAACCACUCAAGUGGAGCGAUGAAGGGACGCGGCGUGGUAGGUCAGCCUCUUAACGGAUUGAGGUGCCAAACGCGUAGGACGUUGAAGGGUGUAGGUAAGUCCGCACCCCGAGUCCGAAACGUGAUGGCGGUGCCUUAGAGCCACAAGUGAUUGAGCCAUGCCGCCUAGAAAAGCUUCUAAGCGUUGAUAUUUGAGUGACCGUACCGCAAACCGACACUGGUAGGUGGGUAGAAUAUACCAAGGGGAGCGAGAGAACCCUCGUUAAGGAAUUAGGCAAAUUUCCCCCGUACGUUCGCAAUAAGGGGGGCCUCUGGUGGUGAGCUUAAUCGCAAAGCUGCUGGAGGCCGCAGAGAAAUGGCUCUUCCAACUGUUUAACAAAAACACAGGUCUCUGCUAAGUCGAAAGACGAAGUAUAGGGGCUGACGCCUGCCCAGUGCUGGAAGGUUAAGGGGAGAGGUUAGGCGCAAGCCGAAGCUUUGAGCCGAAGCCCCAGUGAACGGCGGCCGUAACUAUAACGGUCCUAAGGUAGCGAAAUUCCUUGUCGGGUAAGUUCCGACCCGCACGAAUGGCGUAAUGAGAGGAGCACUGUCUCAACGAGGGACUCGGCGAACAUUGAAGGACGUGUGAAGAUACACGUGACCCGCAGCGGGACAAAAAGACCCCGUGAAGCUUUACUACAACUUGCCAUUGAGUUAGGGCUAAACCUGUGUAGUAUAGGUGGGAGGCUUUGAAGCUGGGACGCCAGUCUCGGUGGAGCCACCGUUGAAAUACCACCCUGGUUUAUUCUUGGCUCUAACCUGUCGCCGUUAUCCGGCAUGGGAACAGUGGCUGGUGGGUAGUUUGACUGGGGCGGUCGCCUCCGAAAGCGUAACAGAGGCGCCCAAAGGUUCCCUCAGGCUGAAUGGAAACCAGCCGUUGAGUGUAAAGGCACAAGGGAGCUUGACUGCAAGACCAACAAGUCGCGCAGGGACGAAAGUCGGGCUUAGUGAUCCCACGGUUCAGAGUGGAAUGGCCGUGGCUUACCGGAUAAAAGCUACUUCGGGGAUAACAGGGUAGUCUGGUCCAAGAGUUCAUAUCGACGACCAGGUUCGCCACCUCGAUGUCGGCUCAUCACAUCCUGGGGCUGGAUAAGGUCCCAAGGGUUGGGCUGUUCGCCCAUUAAAGUGGUACGUGAGCUGGGUUCAGACCGUCGUGAGACAGGUCGGUCUCUAUCCGCUGUGGGCGUAAGGGAUUUGAGAGAAGCUGCCCCUAGUACGAGAGGACCGGGGUGGACGGACCUCUAGUGUGCCAGUUGUUCUGCCAAGAGCAUUGCUGGGUAGCUACGUCCGGCAGAGAUAACCGCUGAAAGCAUCUAAGUGGGAAACUCGUCUCAAGAUUAGAUCCCUCAUCCGUAUGGAGUAAGACCGCUAGAAGACUACUAGUUUGAUAGGCGGCAGGUGUAAGCGCAGUAAUGUGUUCAGCUUAGCCGUACUAAUGGUCGAGGGCUUACGUU